This 300-nucleotide ribosomal RNA is filed under the name uncultured Rubritalea sp. RNAcentral's name for it is "bacterial SSU rRNA". It matches the Rfam family "Bacterial small subunit ribosomal RNA", at positions 114 to 422 of the family's 1533-position model. The record is from RNAcentral. Lineage: Bacteria; Pseudomonadati; Verrucomicrobiota; Verrucomicrobiia; Verrucomicrobiales; Rubritaleaceae.
CACGUGAGUAACUUGCCUCAGAGUGGGGGAUAGUCCUGGGAAACAGGGUUUAAUACCGCAUACGACCUACGGGUUAAAGCUAGCUUCGGCUGGUGCUUUGAGAUAGGCUCGCGUCCUAUCAGCUAGUUGGUGAGGUAAAAGCUCACCAAGGCGACGACGGGUAGUUGGUCUGAGAGGACGACCAGCAGCACUGGAACUGAGACACGGUCCAGACACCUACGGGUGGCAGCAGUCGAGAAUCAUUCACAAUGGGGGCAACCCUGAUGGUGCAACGCCGCGUGGAGGAUGAAGGCCCUAGGG